CGUGUAGGCGGUUUGGUCAAGUCGGAUGUGAAAGCCUGGGGCUCAGCCCCAGAAGUGCAUCCGAAACUAGCCAGCUAGAGCGCGAUAGAGGAGGGUGGAAUUCCUGGUGUAGCGGUGAAAUGCGUAGAUAUCAGGAGGAACACCGGCGGCGAAGGCGGCCCUCUGGAUCGUUGCUGACGGCUGAGACGCGAAAGCGUCGGGGAGCAAACAGGAUUAGAUACCCUGGUAGUCCACGCCUUAAACGAUGGGUACUAGGUGUUCGGGGUGUUGACCCCCUGAGUGCCGCAGUUUAACGCAUUAAGUACCCCGGCCUGGGGACUACGGCCGCAAGGUUAAA
Molecule: ribosomal RNA, 337 nt
Filed under: uncultured bacterium
Lineage: Bacteria
Description: bacterial SSU rRNA
Rfam family: Bacterial small subunit ribosomal RNA
Source: RNAcentral